Molecule: long non-coding RNA, 713 nt
Organism: Notolabrus celidotus (New Zealand spotty)
Lineage: Eukaryota; Metazoa; Chordata; Actinopteri; Labriformes; Labridae
Exons: 2
Source: RefSeq, a predicted model, not a curated record
UUUUCCUGCACAGGGGUUUCUUUUUCUUCUCCUGAUGCAGAUUCUGGAGCAGGAGGAACAGGAGGAGCUGGCGCGGUGGUUGAAACUGAAGCAAGAGCUGGAGUCACUGAUUUGACCGGGUUGGCCGACUGAGGAGCUCGAUUGGUCCAGGGAGGUUGCUGCUGCUGCUGGGCUGAAGAAAGCCUGCUCGCUGGUUUCUGGGCUUGACUGACAUCCGGUGGCGAGCAGCAGAGGUGUCCAGGCGAGGGGUUAACUGGGCCGGAGAGCUGAAGUCUGACGGAGACUCAUCCACAGAAGAAUUGGAAGGAACAGAGACAGGCACAGUCUGGGAUGCGUAUUUGGUGGGUGAUUGUUUGGGGUUGGGUGAGAUUGGAGAAGUCUGAAAAGAAAGGAACAACAAAAUAGUGAGUCACUCUCUUUAGCUAAACUUAUUUUCUUAUACCUCAUAUGGAAGUGCCAUGAACACACGUGUUUAUGAUGAAAAAGACUGCAUUGUACUUUUACUUUUGUACCUUAGCUCUGCCUGUGGUGAUAGCUGAAUUGUCAUCCUUGAUGAUUAAGUGUUGACCAAAUGAAAUGUCUAACUAAAUAUGCUCUCCAAUAUAUCCCCAAACUAGAAUAUAUAUACAGGUACCAAGGCUUUGAGGCAGAGCUAUUAAAGUUAACAACAGCAAAAAGUGUUGUACGUCAAACAUUAAACUGAAGUCACCUCA